RNAcentral lists this RNase P RNA (376 nucleotides) under Saprospiraceae bacterium. Its description in RNAcentral is "RNase P RNA component class A". It matches the Rfam family "Bacterial RNase P class A". Rfam says of the family: Ribonuclease P (RNase P) is a ubiquitous endoribonuclease, found in archaea, bacteria and eukarya as well as chloroplasts and mitochondria. Its best characterised activity is the generation of mature 5'-ends of tRNAs by cleaving the 5'-leader elements of precursor-tRNAs. The record is from RNAcentral. Lineage: Bacteria; Pseudomonadati; Bacteroidota; Saprospiria; Saprospirales; Saprospiraceae.
GCCACAAACCGCUCUGUCGCCUUUCGGGGAGGAAAGUCCGGACAACACAGAGCAUCGCACCGCCUAACAGGCGGAGUUCCCGAAGCAGUUCGGGGGCAUAGAAAGUGUCGCAGAAAAUAACCGUCCCGGGCUAGUUCCGGGGUAAGGGUGAAAACGUGCGGUAAGAGCGCACGACCGCGGCGGGUAACCGCAACGGGGGAUAAACCUUGCGAGUUGAAAUGCCAUGUACACCUUGUAAUUGUGCGGCUCGUACAGUUCCGAGCAAUCGGAAGCAAGGGGGGUAGGCAGCGCAGAUCCCGAGCGAUCGGGACCAGAUAAAUGACAGAGACUCCGGCUUGCCGGAGGACAGAAUCCGGCUUACAGGUUUGUGGUUUUU